Molecule: ribosomal RNA, 497 nt
Filed under: uncultured bacterium
Lineage: Bacteria
Description: partial 16S ribosomal RNA
Rfam family: Bacterial small subunit ribosomal RNA
Source: RNAcentral
GAUGAACGCUGGCGGCGUGCCUAAUACAUGCCAGUCGAGCGAACGGACGAGAAGCUUGCUUCUCUGAUGUUAGCGGCGGACGGGUGAGUAACACGUGGAUAACCUACCUAUAAGACUGGGAUAACUUCGCGAAACCGGAGCUAAUACCGGAUAAUAUUUUGAACCGCAUGGUUCAAAAGUGAAAGACGGUCUUGCUGUCACUUAUAGAUGGAUCCGCGCUGCAUUAGCUAGUUGGUAAGGUAACGGCUUACCAAGGCAACGAUGCAUAGCCGACCUGAGAGGGUGAUCGGCCACACUGGAACUGAGACACGGUCCAGACUCCUACGGGAGGCAGCAGUAGGGAAUCUUCCGCAAUGGGCGAAAGCCUGACGGAGCAACGCCGCGUGAGUGAUGAAGGUCUUCGGAUCGUAAAACUCUGUUAUUAGGGAAGAACAUAUGUGUAAGUAACUGUGCACACCUUGACGGUACCUAAUCAGAAAGCCACGGCUAACUACGUG